AAUCAACGCUGGCGGCGUGCCUCAGACAUGCAAGUCGAACGAUUAAAGCUCUCUUCGGAGAGUGUAUAGAGUGGCGCACGGGUGAGUAACACGUAAGUAAUCUACCUUUGAGUGGGGAAUAACCCGGGGAAACCCGAGCUAAUACCGCAUAAUGCAGCGGCAUCGCAAGAUGACAGUUGUUAAAGGAGCAAUCCGCUUAAAGAGGAGCUUGCGGCAGAUAGCUAGUUGGUAAGGUAAUGGCUUACCAAGGCUACGAUCUGUAUCCGGUCUAAGAGGACGGUCGGACACACUGACACUGAAUAACGGGUCAGACUCCUACGGGAGGCAGCAGUGGGGAAUCUUGCGCAAUGGGCGAAAGCCUGACGCAGCGACGCCGCGUGAGGGAUGACGGCCU
Molecule: ribosomal RNA, 394 nt
Filed under: uncultured bacterium
Lineage: Bacteria
Description: bacterial SSU rRNA
Rfam family: Bacterial small subunit ribosomal RNA
Source: RNAcentral